RNAcentral lists this ribosomal RNA (233 nucleotides) under Clostridioides difficile. Its description in RNAcentral is "partial 23S ribosomal RNA". It matches the Rfam family "Bacterial large subunit ribosomal RNA", at positions 2305 to 2537 of the family's 2925-position model. Lineage: Bacteria; Bacillati; Bacillota; Clostridia; Peptostreptococcales; Peptostreptococcaceae. The record is from RNAcentral.
GGCGCUCAAAGGUUCUCUCAGUACGGUCGGAAAUCGUACGUAGAGUGUAAAGGCAAAAGAGAGCUUGAUUGCAAGACAUACAGGUCGAGCAAGGAUGAAAAUCGGUCUUAGUGAUCCGGUGGUUCUGCGUGGAAGGGCCAUCGCUCAACGGAUAAAAGCUACCCUGGGGAUAACAGGCUUAUCUCCCCCAAGAGUCCACAUCGACGGGGAGGUUUGGCACCUCGAUGUCGGCU